This 493-nucleotide ribosomal RNA is filed under the name uncultured bacterium. Its description in RNAcentral is "partial 16S ribosomal RNA". It matches the Rfam family "Bacterial small subunit ribosomal RNA", at positions 29 to 523 of the family's 1533-position model. The record is from RNAcentral.
AUUGAACGCUGGCGGCAUGCUUUACACAUGCAAGUCGAACGGUAACAGGUUAAGCUGACGAGUGGCGUACGGGUGAGUAAUGCAUCGGAACGUGCCCGGUCGUGGGGGAUAACGCAGCGAAAGCUGCGCUAAUACCGCAUACGAUCUGAGGAUGAAAGCGGGGGACCGUAAGGCAUCGCGCGAUCGGAGCGGCCGAUGUCAGAUUGGGUAGUUGGUGGGGUAAAGGCUCACCAAGCCGACGAUCUGUAGCUGGUCUGAGAGGACGACCAGCCACACUGGGACUGAGACACGGCCCAGACUCCUACGGGAGGCAGCAGUGGGGAAUUUUGGACAAUGGGCGCAAGCCUGAUCCAGCAAUGCCGCGUGCAGGAAGAAGGCCUUCGGGUUGUAAACUGCUUUUGUACGGAGCGAAAAGGCUCUCUCUAAUACAGGGGGCUCAUGACGGUACCGUAAGAAUAAGCACCGGCUAACUACGUGCCAGCCGCCGCGGUAA